Molecule: long non-coding RNA, 566 nt
Organism: Lagenorhynchus albirostris (white-beaked dolphin)
Lineage: Eukaryota; Metazoa; Chordata; Mammalia; Artiodactyla; Delphinidae
Exons: 3
Source: RefSeq, a predicted model, not a curated record
GGGUCCCAGUAGUGUUCCUGGCGUCUCACGCCCCUCACGCGGGCUCCGCCUCCGACCCAUUUCGGGAGAGCUCGCAGAAGGCUAGGGACGCGUUCGAGCCCAGCGUGCGGCGUCCCCGGCAGCGGCAGAGCCAGCCCGCAGGUCUUCGCGUGGGACUGUCCAGUUGAUGGUUUUGGUGACCACGAAGGGCCCAGAGCAGACUUGUCUUCUUCACCUGAACUCUACGAGGAUCUGGAGCUUGGUACCAGCAGAGGCCUCUUUGGUCCAUGCACCUCCACCUCGUCAGAGAGUCCAGACGAAUUUGGCUCCCAGGAAACAUCCUGACCAGGCCCACCUGUGACGGACUGCAAGGAGGAAGAAAUGAAUGCAUCCCCUCCAGAGUCUGGCAGGAACCAGGAAACAUUUACAACAACUUAUCACCUUGUGUUUUUUUCUUUUUCUUUUUUAACUUUACCUCCUUACCUCCCCCUCUUUGUUUUAUAAAAGAAACUAGCAUCCAAACCCAGGCAAGAUGGUUCUUUGGGACACUAGUCCACCAUCUUCCCGGUCUGCUGGCUUUCUGAAUA